This 460-nucleotide ribosomal RNA is filed under the name uncultured bacterium. Its description in RNAcentral is "partial 16S ribosomal RNA". It matches the Rfam family "Bacterial small subunit ribosomal RNA", at positions 338 to 795 of the family's 1533-position model. The record is from RNAcentral.
CCUACGGGAGGCAGCAGUGAGGAAUAUUGGUCAAUGGGCGAGAGCCUGAACCAGCCAAGUCGCGUGAAGGAUGAAGGAUCUAUGGUUUGUAAACUUCUUUUAUAUGGGAAUAAAGUGAGGAACGUGUUCCUUUUUGUAUGUACCAUAUGAAUAAGCAUCGGCUAACUCCGUGCCAGCAGCCGCGGUAAUACGGAGGAUGCGAGCGUUAUCCGGAUUUAUUGGGUUUAAAGGGUGCGUAGGUGGUCGAUUAAGUCAGUUGUGAAAGUUUGUGGCUCAACCAUAAAAUUGCAGUUGAAACUGGUUGACUUGAGUACAGUAGAGGUAGGCGGAAUGCGUGGUGUAGCGGUGAAAUGCAUAGAUAUCACGAAGAACUCCGAUUGCGAAGGCAGCUUACUAAACUAUAACUGACACUGAAGCACGAAAGUGUGGGUAUCAAACAGGAUUAGAUACCCUGGUAGUC